UUAAGCGAAUAAGCGUACACGGUGGAUGCCCUGGCAGUCAGAGGCGAUGAAGGACGUGCUAAUCUGCGAUAAGCGUCGGUAAGGUGAUAUGAACCGUUAUAACCGGCGAUUUCCGAAUGGGGAAACCCAGUGUGAUUCGUCACACUAUCAUUAACUGAAUCCAUAGGUUAAUGAGGCGAACCGGGGGAACUGAAACAUCUAAGUACCCCGAGGAAAAGAAAUCAACCGAGAUUCCCCCAGUAGCGGCGAGCGAACGGGGAGGAGCCCAGAGCCUGAAUCAGUGUGUGUGUUAGUGGAAGCGUCUGGAAAGGCGCGCGAUACAGGGUGACAGCCCCGUACACAAAAAUGCACAUGCUGUGAGCUCGAUGAGUAGGGCGGGACACGUGGUAUCCUGUCUGAAUAUGGGGGGACCAUCCUCCAAGGCUAAAUACUCCUGACUGACCGAUAGUGAACCAGUACCGUGAGGGAAAGGCGAAAAGAACCCCGGCGAGGGGAGUGAAAAAGAACCUGAAACCGUGUACGUACAAGCAGUGGGAGCACAGAGCAAUCUGUGUGACUGCGUACCUUUUGUAUAAUGGGUCAGCGACUUAUAUUCUGUAGCAAGGUUAACCGAAUAGGGGAGCCGAAGGGAAACCGAGUCUUAACUGGGCGUUAAGUUGCAGGGUAUAGACCCGAAACCCGGUGAUCUAGCCAUGGGCAGGUUGAAGGUUGGGUAACACUAACUGGAGGACCGAACCGACUAAUGUUGAAAAAUUAGCGGAUGACUUGUGGCUGGGGGUGAAAGGCCAAUCAAACCGGGAGAUAGCUGGUUCUCCCCGAAAGCUAUUUAGGUAGCGCCUCGUGAAUUCAUCUCCGGGGGUAGAGCACUGUUUCGGCAAGGGGGUCAUCCCGACUUACCAACCCGAUGCAAACUGCGAAUACCGGAGAAUGUUAUCACGGGAGACACACGGCGGGUGCUAACGUCCGUCGUGAAGAGGGAAACAACCCAGACCGCCAGCUAAGGUCCCAAAGUCAUGGUUAAGUGGGAAACGAUGUGGGAAGGCCCAGACAGCCAGGAUGUUGGCUUAGAAGCAGCCAUCAUUUAAAGAAAGCGUAAUAGCUCACUGGUCGAGUCGGCCUGCGCGGAAGAUGUAACGGGGCUAAACCAUGCACCGAAGCUGCGGCAGCGACGCUGAUGCGUUGUUGGGUAGGGGAGCGUUCUGUAAGCCUGUGAAGGUGUGCUGUGAGGCAUGCUGGAGGUAUCAGAAGUGCGAAUGCUGACAUAAGUAACGAUAAAGCGGGUGAAAAGCCCGCUCGCCGGAAGACCAAGGGUUCCUGUCCAACGUUAAUCGGGGCAGGGUGAGUCGACCCCUAAGGCGAGGCCGAAAGGCGUAGUCGAUGGGAAACAGGUUAAUAUUCCUGUACUUGGUGUUACUGCGAAGGGGGGACGGAGAAGGCUAUGUUGGCCGGGCGACGGUUGUCCCGGUUUAAGCGUGUAGGCUGGUUUUCCAGGCAAAUCCGGAAAACUAAGGCUGAGGCGUGAUGACGAGGCACUACGGUGCUGAAGCAACAAAUGCCCUGCUUCCAGGAAAAGCCUCUAAGCAUCAGGUAACAUCAAAUCGUACCCCAAACCGACACAGGUGGUCAGGUAGAGAAUACCAAGGCGCUUGAGAGAACUCGGGUGAAGGAACUAGGCAAAAUGGUGCCGUAACUUCGGGAGAAGGCACGCUGAUAUGUAGGUGAAGUCCCUCGCGGAUGGAGCUGAAAUCAGUCGAAGAUACCAGCUGGCUGCAACUGUUUAUUAAAAACACAGCACUGUGCAAACACGAAAGUGGACGUAUACGGUGUGACGCCUGCCCGGUGCCGGAAGGUUAAUUGAUGGGGUCAGCGCAAGCGAAGCUCUUGAUCGAAGCCCCGGUAAACGGCGGCCGUAACUAUAACGGUCCUAAGGUAGCGAAAUUCCUUGUCGGGUAAGUUCCGACCUGCACGAAUGGCGUAAUGAUGGCCAGGCUGUCUCCACCCGAGACUCAGUGAAAUUGAACUCGCUGUGAAGAUGCAGUGUACCCGCGGCAAGACGGAAAGACCCCGUGAACCUUUACUAUAGCUUGACACUGAACAUUGAGCCUUGAUGUGUAGGAUAGGUGGGAGGCUUUGAAGUGUGGACGCCAGUCUGCAUGGAGCCGACCUUGAAAUACCACCCUUUAAUGUUUGAUGUUCUAACGUUGACCCGUAAUCCGGGUUGCGGACAGUGUCUGGUGGGUAGUUUGACUGGGGCGGUCUCCUCCUAAAGAGUAACGGAGGAGCACGAAGGUUGGCUAAUCCUGGUCGGACAUCAGGAGGUUAGUGCAAUGGCAUAAGCCAGCUUGACUGCGAGCGUGACGGCGCGAGCAGGUGCGAAAGCAGGUCAUAGUGAUCCGGUGGUUCUGAAUGGAAGGGCCAUCGCUCAACGGAUAAAAGGUACUCCGGGGAUAACAGGCUGAUACCGCCCAAGAGUUCAUAUCGACGGCGGUGUUUGGCACCUCGAUGUCGGCUCAUCACAUCCUGGGGCUGAAGUAGGUCCCAAGGGUAUGGCUGUUCGCCAUUUAAAGUGGUACGCGAGCUGGGUUUAGAACGUCGUGAGACAGUUCGGUCCCUAUCUGCCGUGGGCGCUGGAGAACUGAGGGGGGCUGCUCCUAGUACGAGAGGACCGGAGUGGACGCAUCACUGGUGUUCGGGUUGUCAUGCCAAUGGCACUGCCCGGUAGCUAAAUGCGGAAGAGAUAAGUGCUGAAAGCAUCUAAGCACGAAACUUGCCCCGAGAUGAGUUCUCCCUGACUCCUUGAGAGUCCUGAAGGAACGUUGAAGACGACGACGUUGAUAGGCCGGGUGUGUAAGCGCAGCGAUGCGUUGAGCUAACCGGUACUAAUGAACCGUGAGGCUUAACCUU
RNAcentral lists this ribosomal RNA (2904 nucleotides) under Escherichia coli 2534-86. Its description in RNAcentral is "bacterial LSU rRNA". It matches the Rfam family "Bacterial large subunit ribosomal RNA". Lineage: Bacteria; Pseudomonadati; Pseudomonadota; Gammaproteobacteria; Enterobacterales; Enterobacteriaceae. The record is from RNAcentral.